Cydia fagiglandana is the source of this 385-nucleotide long non-coding RNA. RefSeq lists it as uncharacterized. The transcript is spliced from 3 exons. NCBI's taxonomy places the organism in Eukaryota, Metazoa, Arthropoda, Insecta, Lepidoptera, Tortricidae. The record is from RefSeq and is a predicted model, not a curated record.
GUUAGCUGUGAACACCCUUGUGACUGCUCACGACGGUUAUGGAUGAUUUCAGAUUUUAAUCAUUUAGUGAAAUGUUUUCGAACAUCUACUUUGGAUGAUAAGCUACAAGAGUUCAAGACCCCUUACGGAACUGUGAAAAAAAGACAUUGGGAAGCGGUAUUAGAGGAAGAGAAUUAUCGUCAGCCUAACUUAAAAAUCGCUUACAAGUUAACACCAGCGCAUUUGAAACCGAAAGGUUUUCAAGUAAUGAAUGUUCCUCUUGCAACUGAAGUGUUUGGUCACGAAAUUUCGGUCGCCAUGGCUCACUAUCAACCCUAUUGCGAGGAAUUGAAGGAUUCAACUGCAACACAAAAAUUUAUUGAUCUUGUAUUCAAUUUGAUACAAG